RNAcentral lists this small nucleolar RNA (127 nucleotides) under Carlito syrichta (Philippine tarsier). RNAcentral describes it as "Small Cajal body specific RNA 15 (ENSTSYG00000030507.1)". It matches the Rfam family "Small Cajal body specific RNA 15". Rfam says of the family: scaRNAs are a specific class of small nuclear RNAs which localise to the Cajal bodies and guide the modification of RNA polymerase II transcribed spliceosomal RNAs U1, U2, U4, U5 and U12. ACA45 belongs to the H/ACA box class of guide RNAs as it has the predicted hairpin-hinge-hairpin-tail structure, the conserved H/ACA-box motifs and is found associated with GAR1. Lineage: Eukaryota; Metazoa; Chordata; Mammalia; Primates; Tarsiidae. The record is from Rfam by way of RNAcentral.
CUGGAGACUAAGGGAAUAGAGGACAUGAAGUUGAGCUGACUCUGCUUUUAGCCCCCCAAAUGAAAUGUUAGAUAGAACAGAUCUUGUUUGCAAAAUAAAUUCAAGACCUACUUAUCUACCAACAGCA